Molecule: ribosomal RNA, 435 nt
Filed under: uncultured bacterium
Lineage: Bacteria
Description: partial 16S ribosomal RNA
Rfam family: Bacterial small subunit ribosomal RNA
Source: RNAcentral
AACGAACGCUGGCGGCAGGCCUAACACAUGCAAGUCGAGCGGACAUCUUCGGAUGUUAGCGGCGGCCGGGUGAGUAACGCGUGGGAACGUGCCCUUUGCUUCGGAAUAGCCUCGGGAAACUGGGAGUAAUACCGGAUGUACCCUUUGGGGGAAAGAUUUAUCGGCAAAGGAUCGGCCCGCGUUGGAUUAGGUAGUUGGUGGGGUAAUGGCCUACCAAGCCGACGAUCCAUAGCUGGUUUGAGAGGAUGAUCAGCCACACUGGGACUGAGACACGGCCCAGACUCCUACGGGAGGCAGCAGUGGGGAAUCUUAGACAAUGGGGGAAACCCUGAUCUAGCCAUGCCGCGUGAGCGAUGAAGGCCUUAGGGUUGUAAAGCUCUUUCACCGGGGAAGAUAAUGACGGUAACCGGAGAAGAAGCCCCGGCUAACUCCGUG